ACACACACACACACACACACACACCCUCCUGCCCUUCUCUCCACCCACAUCCACUCAGAAGGCUUGGAGGAAGAACCAGUAGCCUAAACAAACAAAGGAUGAUGGAGGAGGAGGAGCAGGAAUAAAGGGUCACCUUUGAACUGAAAGCCACUGUGUGAUACCAAGCUCUGCUUUCAAAGAGAGUUCUCCAAAACUCUGGGCUGGAGGUGACCUGGGCUUCUUCUACUGUCCAACAGAAAGCUCCUUCCUUACACCAGGGAGAAAUGUACAAUACUCAGUGUGGGAGAGCCAAACCUUAACGUUCGUGGAAUCAAAAUAGAGAGAAAACCUUAAUCUGACCUUGCGUGGAGGCCUUCAGCUUAGAAACACUAAUCAUUCCAAACUUUUCAGAAUUUGUUGGGCAGGACAGAAGAAGAACAAUUUUAAUGUGGCACAAAUAGUCUCCAAAGAUCUUAUGAAAGCAAGUAGCUAUAUUGGCUCCUGUAUCUUGGCAAUCUGGUCACAAAUGAUUUGAAUCAAGCAGGUUUGUUUACAAAUAUGAGUUGAUAGUUUUGAAAAGGACAGUUCUCAAAGGAAAUCUGCAACUGGAGAUUUGGCUGAAACCAAGACUGGCUCUCUAUACUUAGUUCACACACAAUGCACAGCCUUUUCCAGGACAGGGUGACUAAAGACUCACGGGGCAUCACCACCCAGCCUUGCACAGGGGAGAGAGAUUGAUGCUGUAGUUUUUCUUUAAUUAACACCUACCAUCAAUUUCAAGAAACUGAACACCACCGUAUACAUCACAGAUUGCAGCUCAUUCCUUCCUCCUUAGGGGUAACAGUGUCAGUAAUUUAUAAGGUUUACUACCUAUGUGGUUAUCCUGAAACAAUAUACAGUUUCAUAUCUACGUUUGAACUUUAUGAUCAUGGAGUUAAGCCAAUAUAUUCUUCUUUAACGACUUGUUCUUUUUAAUUCAAUACUGUGUGCGAUUGAUCACUGACAGGGCAUGUAAAUUUUUUUCAUAUUCACUGCUGCAUAGUAUUCCACUGUGUAAAUAUACAUCUUUUUCUUGAUAAAUCUAUUGGGGUUUUCCAGAGAAACAGAACCAAACUAUAACCUAUUAGCUCUGUUAUAAAUAGGUAAUUACUAAUAUACAUGAGCAUGGAAAUUGGCUCAUACAGUUGUGGAGGCUGAAAAGUUCCAUGCAUUUACAAAAGUUCCAUGCAUUUACAAAAGUUCCAUGCAAUUAUACCAUCAGUUCCCCUGGCCAAAGAUCCAGGGGAGCUGAUGGUGUAAUUCUAGCCCAAGUGUGAAGGCUUGAGAACCAGGGGAGCUGAUAAUAUAAAUUCUAAUCCAAAAGUAGAAGACAGAUGCCCCACCUCAAACAGGCAAGCAGGAGCAAAAAAGUGGUGAAUCCCUCCUUUCUCUGCCUUUUGCUCUCUUUAGGCCUUCAAUAGAUUGGGUAAUGCCCAUCCACACUGAAAAGUGUAGUCUACUGAGCCACCAGUUAAAAUGAUAAUCUCAUCCAGAAACCCCUUCAUAGAAAACCUAGAAAUAAUGUUUAAUCUCGGCACUCCAUGAUACACGUGUCAACUUAGGUUGACACAUAAAGAGUAACCAUCACAAAAAACCUUUAGGCUAUUUUUA
Molecule: long non-coding RNA, 1629 nt
Filed under: Capra hircus (goat)
Lineage: Eukaryota; Metazoa; Chordata; Mammalia; Artiodactyla; Bovidae
Description: lncRNA (ENSCHIG00010004353.1)
Source: RNAcentral